CAGAGGUCUCAACCGUUGUUCGGAUUCAUUGGGCGUAAAGGGUGCGUAGGCGGUCGGGUAAGUCGGAUGUGAAAUCUCAGGGCUCAACCCUGAAACUGCAUUCGAUACUGCCUGGCUAGGGUACUGGAGAGGAGACUGGAAUUUACGGUGUAGCAGUGAAAUGCGUAGAUAUCGUAAGGAAGACCAGUGGCGAAGGCGAGUCUCUGGACAGUUACCGACGCUGAGGCACGAAGGUCAGGGGAGCAAACGGGAUUAGAUACCCCGGUAGUCCUGACAGUAAACGGUGUACGUUUGGUGUAGGCGGAUUCGACCCCGCCUGUGCCGGAGCUAACGCGUUAAACGUACCGCCUGGGAAGUACGGUCGCAAGAUUA
RNAcentral lists this ribosomal RNA (372 nucleotides) under uncultured organism. Its description in RNAcentral is "bacterial SSU rRNA". It matches the Rfam family "Bacterial small subunit ribosomal RNA", at positions 526 to 896 of the family's 1533-position model. The record is from RNAcentral.